UGAAUAACAAUAUUGUAAUAUUUUGUGUAAAUGAGCCACCACUCUGUUUUCUAAUGAUUCUUAUUUUCUAAUUUAGAAUUGCCACCAUAUCUACGAAUUCUCACUCUCUGGUGUAGAAUGAGAACAUUUUAUGGGUUUCUGUAAGUCUGUUUAAAACAGAAGGAAAUGUAUAAUAGACUUUUUCCUUGAACACUCUCCUUCUGGGCAGGAAGUGGAUAAUGUCAACCAAGAAAGGGAUCCUUGGAGGGAGGAAAACCUGCCAGUGUGACAAACAUCUCCCUCCCGCCUUGCUGUGCUUUCUUCUUUAAUAUUUCUUACUUAAAACUCAACUGAAGAUCAGCAGCCCUUUGAUAUCAGGGAGAAAGGGGUCAGACCACGGCUUAAAGUGAUUAGGGGGGACAAGGCAGCCUAAGCCCAUCUUACUGUGAUAAGAACUUCUGGAGUG
RNAcentral lists this long non-coding RNA (445 nucleotides) under Bos taurus (domestic cattle). Its description in RNAcentral is "long non-coding RNA NONBTAT006054". The record is from RNAcentral. Lineage: Eukaryota; Metazoa; Chordata; Mammalia; Artiodactyla; Bovidae.